AACAGAACAUUCAACUGAUGAUCUGAAUUGGGUAACAUCUGCAAGGUUAAGUUGCCUUUUUCUCUCCUGGACUGGGAUUUUCCUAGUUUUUUUCACUUGAGAAGGAUAAAUCCCCAGUUCAGCUGGUUCUUUCUGUUUUAUUCCUGGCUUGACUUCUUUCCUUACAUAAUCAUCUUAUUGAAUAUCUCCAUGUUCUUGAAGGUAUUAUCUCUAGCAAUACACCACCACUAUGUUCUCCAUUUCACUGUUGAGGAAGCGGCAGAGAGAGGUUAAGUACUUGCUUAGAUAGAUUGGAGUGAAAGUGGCAGCUUUCGAAUCCAGGCAGCGCGACCUCAGAGCCCGCACCGCCAAGUGUUCCACUGGGCAAGGAAAUCAAGAAAAUCAAAAGAACAAUCUCGUGAUUUCUUCAAGGAGCCGGGCGAGUUUGGAGAACAGUGAUGAGUUCAAGAUACAGAAGGAGCAGAGGGAAGUGGUAUUAAAAAGGCUUCAGAAACUGGCAACGAAGUUUGCAAAAAACUUUUUUUUUUUUUCCGAAAAAACUUUGCACUUCUCGGGGCUAGAUUACCCAGCCCAGAAGGCGGGCAGAAAAUACCCGGACGAAAACAACCUGUUUUCUGAAACCAAACCCAGGUGAACCUUAAAACAAGUCGGAAGUGACGUCACUAGCUGUGUUGCCCGGUUAGUGGGAUUACGAGGCGGUGUGGAAUUCCGGCCGGACGUGACGCAAAGGAAGUUACGCCCUGGUGGAGGUACCUGGUUGUAGUGGGCGUCAAGAUGGGCGGAGCGGUGCUUCUGCGAUCUGCUCUGAGCUUUGGGUCCAGGACAGUUUUGCAGAACACUGAUAUCUAUGGAAUCUAAUAUGGACGUCAUUUAAAGAAACCCACGGACCAUUCAUGGACAAAAACAUGAAUCAAUUUGAUUUGUGGCAUUCAAAUCAUAGCACUUUGGGAAAGCAUCAAGUACCAAGUUUUUGAAGACCAUGGCUUACCACCAUAAUGCAUUCAAGAUCUGAGUUUGAAUAACCUCAAGACUUAGAUCCUCUUCAAAAGCUUCAAGUUUCAUCUGCAAUAAAGUGCUGCAUUGAACCCUAUCACAAAAAGUAAAAGCUUUUAGGGACAAAGGUUUAUUAAUAAAUUCCAUUUUAUAUCCUUUCA
Molecule: long non-coding RNA, 1154 nt
Organism: Choloepus didactylus (southern two-toed sloth)
Lineage: Eukaryota; Metazoa; Chordata; Mammalia; Pilosa; Megalonychidae
Exons: 5
Source: RefSeq, a predicted model, not a curated record